GCAGCGGCUUUCCCAUCGCGCUCACACUCGGCUGAGCCGGCCCCAGCUGUUACAUCCCGGCUGUUUAAACAAGAGUUGCCAGUAGUUGAACGUUGCUGCUGAAGCGAGACAGUGUGCUCCCCGUGUAUGUCAGCCCCGCAGGAACAAUCUAAAGACAAGGCCGGGCCUCUCUGGCCAGCGUGUAAGCAGCUGGGAUGGAGCCGCUGCCCUGAGAGAGAGGGAGACGGCCCAAAGGCUUCUGGCUCACAAGACUCGGAUUCCAGUCCAGGUUCUUUUACUUUCUGGUGCACCAGGUCUCCGCUUCCUCAUUUGAAAAUGGGAGUGAUAAUACUUGGGCGAGCUCUCCCUCAAUGGGAUGUUGGGAGGAAGAUGCUUUGAUGUCCCCAUCAGAGAUCUAUCCCUCAUAACAAAGAAGAAAAAAGAAAAGAAAAAAAGUCUCAGCAAAACUAGUCAACAUAUUACACAACUCCAAUAUUAUAUAUGCAGUAUUACACAGUCUCUCAUCUCUGCAAAGAAGGAAAGGAGGUGCAUUUUGAAAUUUCGUCUUUGGGGCCAAGAUUGGUCAUUAUAAUUUCAUAGCAUGCAUAACUUGUUCUUAAUAAACCCAUGAUGUUCACUAUAA
Long non-coding RNA from Sarcophilus harrisii (Tasmanian devil), 622 nucleotides. RefSeq lists it as uncharacterized. NCBI's taxonomy places the organism in Eukaryota, Metazoa, Chordata, Mammalia, Dasyuromorphia, Dasyuridae. The record is from RefSeq and is a predicted model, not a curated record. The transcript has 2 exons.